UACGUAGGGACCAAGCGUUGUUCGGAUUUACUGGGCGUAAAGGGCGCGUAGGCGGUCGUGACAAGUCACUUGUGAAAUCUCCGGGCUUAACUCGGAACGGUCAAGUGAUACUGUCGGACUAGAGUACAGAAGGGGCAACUGGAAUUCUCGGUGUAGCGGUGGAAUGCGCAGAUAUCAGGAGGAACACCGGUGGCGAAGGCGGUUCUCUGGGCCUUACCUGACGC
RNAcentral lists this ribosomal RNA (224 nucleotides) under uncultured bacterium. Its description in RNAcentral is "partial 16S ribosomal RNA". It matches the Rfam family "Bacterial small subunit ribosomal RNA", at positions 524 to 746 of the family's 1533-position model. The record is from RNAcentral.